RNAcentral lists this ribosomal RNA (129 nucleotides) under Pteropus alecto (black flying fox). Lineage: Eukaryota; Metazoa; Chordata; Mammalia; Chiroptera; Pteropodidae. The record is from RNAcentral.
GUCUACGGCCAUAUUACCCUGAAUGCUCUCGAUCUCAUUUGAUCUCAUCUGAUCUCGGAAGCUAAGAAGGGUCAGGCCUGGUUAGUACUUAAAUGGGAGACCGCCUGGGAAUAUAGGGUGCUGCAGGCU